This 550-nucleotide ribosomal RNA is filed under the name uncultured bacterium. RNAcentral's name for it is "bacterial SSU rRNA". It matches the Rfam family "Bacterial small subunit ribosomal RNA", at positions 355 to 896 of the family's 1533-position model. The record is from RNAcentral.
UAGGGAAUCUUCCACAAUGGGCGCAAGCCUGANGGAGCAACACCGCGUGAGUGAAGAAGGGUUUCGGCUCGUAAAGCUCUGUUGUUAAAGAAGAACACGUAUGAGAGUAGAAGUUCCUCCGUUGACGGUAUUUAACCAGAAAGUCACGGCCAAAUACGUGCCCGCCGCCGCGGUAAUAAGUAGGUUGCCAGCGUUAUCCGGAUUUAUUGGGGGUAAAGAGAGUGCCGGCGGUUUUCUAAGUUUGAUGUGAAAGCCUUCGGCUUCACCGGAGAAGUGCAUCGGAAACUGGAUAACUUGAGUGCAGAAGAGGGUAGUGGAACUCCAUGUGUAGCGGUGGAAUGCGUAGAUAUAUGGAAGAACACCAGUGGCGAAGGCGGCUAUCUGGUCUGUAACUGACGCUGAGGCUCGAAAGCAUGGGUAGCGAACAGGAUUAGAUACCCUGGUAGUCCAUGCCGUAAACGAUGAGUGCUAGGUGUUGGAGGGUUUCCGGGCUUCAGUGCCGGAGCUAACGCAUUAAGCACUCCGCCUGGGGAGUACGACCGCAAGGUUG